GGGACACGUGGUAUCCUGUCUGAAUAUGGGGGGACCAUCCUCCAAGGCUAAAUACUCCUGACUGACCGAUAGUGAACCAGUACCGUGAGGGAAAGGCGAAAAGAACCCCGGCGAGGGGAGUGAAAAAGAACCUGAAACCGUGUACGUACAAGCAGUGGGAGCACCUUCGGGUGUGACUGCGUACCUUUUGUAUAAUGGGUCAGCGACUUAUAUUCUGUAGCAAGGUUAACCGUAUAGGGGAGCCGCAGGGAAACCGAGUCUUAACUGGGCGUUAAGUUGCAGGGUAUAGACCCGAAACCCGGUGAUCUAGCCAUGGGCAGGUUGAAGGUUGGGUAACACUAACUGGAGGACCGAACCGACUAAUGUUGAAAAAUUAGCGGAUGACUUGUGGCUGGGGGUGAAAGGCCAAUCAAACCGGGAGAUAGCUGGUUCUCCCCGAAAGCUAUUUAGGUAGCGCCUCGUGAACUCAUCUUCGGGGGUAGAGCACUGUUUCGGCUAGGGGGUCAUCCCGACUUACCAACCCGAUGCAAACUACGAAUACCGAAGAAUGUUAUCACGGGAGACACACGGCGGGUGCUAACGUCCGUCGUGAAGAGGGAAACAACCCAGACCGCCAGCUAAGGUCCCAAAGUCAUGGUUAAGUGGGAAACG
RNAcentral lists this ribosomal RNA (651 nucleotides) under Klebsiella pneumoniae. RNAcentral's name for it is "partial 23S ribosomal RNA". It matches the Rfam family "Bacterial large subunit ribosomal RNA", at positions 419 to 1072 of the family's 2925-position model. Lineage: Bacteria; Pseudomonadati; Pseudomonadota; Gammaproteobacteria; Enterobacterales; Enterobacteriaceae. The record is from RNAcentral.